AUGUAUAUCCUGCUACCAGUCACUUUUCAGCCCUGUUUACAUGUAUAUCCUGCUACCAGUCACUUUUCAGCCCUGUUAACAUGUAUAUCCUGCUACCAGUCACUUUUCAGCCCUGUUUACAUGUAUAUCCUGCUACCAGUCACUUUUCAGCCCUGUUUACAUGUAUAUCCUGCUACCAGUCACUUUUCAGCCCUGUUUACAUGUAUAUCCUGCUACCAGUCACUUUUCAGCCCUGUUUACAUGUAUAUUCUGCUACCAGUCACUUUUCAGCCCUGUUUACAUGUAUAUCCUGCUACCAGUCACUUUUCAGCCCUGUUUACAUGUAUAUCCUGCUACCAGUCACUUUUCAACCCUGUUUACAUGUAUAUCCUGCUAGCAGUCACUUUUCAGCCCUGUUUACAUGUAUAUCCUGCUACCAGUCACUUUUCAGCCCUGUUAACAUGUAUAUCCUGCUACCAGUCACUUUUCAGCCCUGUUUACAUGUAUAUCCUGCUACCAGUCACUUUUCAGCCCUGUUUACAUGUAUAUCCUGCUACCGGUCACUUUCCAGCCCUGUUUACAUGUAUAUCCUGCUACCAGUCACAUUCAGCCCUGUUAACAUGUAUAUCCUGCUACCAGUCACUUUUCAGCCCUGUUAACAUGUAUAUCCUGCUACCAGUCACUUUUCAGCCCUGUUUACAUGUAUAUCCUGCUACCAGUCACUUUUCAGCCCUGUUUACAUGUAUAUCCUGCUACCAGUCACUUUUCAGCCCUGUUAACAUGUAUAUCCUGCUACCAGUCACUUUUCAGCCCUGUUUACAUGUAUAUCCUGCUACCAGUCACUUUUCAGCCCUGUUUACAUGUAUAUCCUGCUACAAGUCACUUUUCAGCCCUGUUUACAUGUAUAUCCUGCUGCCAGUCACUUUUCAACCCUGUUUACAUGUAUAUCCUGCUACCAGUCACUUUUCAGCCAUGUUUACAUGUAUAUCCUGCUACCAGUCACUUUUCAGCCCUGUUUACAUGUAUAUCCUGCUACCAGUCACUUUUCAGCCCUGUUUACAUGUAUAUCCUGCUAGCAGUCACUUUUCAGCCCUGUUUACAUGUAUAUCCUGCUACCAGUCACUUUUCAGCCAUGUUUACAUGUAUAUCCUGCUACCAGUCACUUUUCAACCAUGUUUACAUGUAUAUCCUGCUACCAGUCACUUUUCAGCCCUGUUUACAUGUAUAUCCUGCUACCAGUCACUUUUCAGCCCUGUUAACAUGUAUAUCCUGCUACCAGUCACUUUUCAGCCCUGUUUACAUGUAUAUCCUGCUACCAGUCACUUUUCAACCCUGUUUACAUGUAUAUCCUGCUACCAGUCACUUUUCAGCCAUGUUUACAUGUAUAUCCUGCUACCAGUCACUUUUCAGCCCUGUUUACAUGUAUAUCCUGCUACCAGUCACUUUUCAGCCCUGUUUACAUGUAUAUCCUGCUAG
This 1455-nucleotide long non-coding RNA is filed under the name Oncorhynchus mykiss (rainbow trout). Its description in RNAcentral is "lncRNA (ENSOMYG00000048961.1)". The record is from RNAcentral. Lineage: Eukaryota; Metazoa; Chordata; Actinopteri; Salmoniformes; Salmonidae.